RNAcentral lists this ribosomal RNA (742 nucleotides) under uncultured bacterium. RNAcentral's name for it is "bacterial SSU rRNA". It matches the Rfam family "Bacterial small subunit ribosomal RNA", at positions 94 to 823 of the family's 1533-position model. The record is from RNAcentral.
AGCGGCGGACGGGUGAGUAACACGUGGGUAACCUGCCCAAGAGACUGGGAUAACACCUGGAAACAGAUGCUAAUACCGGAUAACAACACUAGACGCAUGUCUAGAGCUUGAAAGAUGGUUCUGCUAUCACUCUUGGAUGGACCUGCGGUGCAUUAGCUAGUUGGUAAGGUAACGGCUUACCAAGACAAUGAUGCAUAGCCGAGUUGAGAGACUGAUCGGCCACAUUGGGACUGAGACACGGCCCAAACUCCUACGGGAGGCAGCAGUAGGGAAUCUUCCACAAUGGACGAAAGUCUGAUGGAGCAACGCCGCGUGAGUGAAGAAGGGUUUCGGCUCGUAAAGCUCUGUUGGUAGUGAAGAAAGAUAGAGGUAGUAACUGGCCUUUAUUUGACGGUAAUUACUUAGAAAGUCACGGCUAACUACGUGCCAGCAGCCGCGGUAAUACGUAGGUGGCAAGCGUUGUCCGGAUUUAUUGGGCGUAAAGCGAGUGCAGGCGGUUCAAUAAGUCUGAUGUGAAAGCCUUCGGCUCAACCGGAGAAUUGCAUCAGAAACUGUUGAACUUGAGUGCAGAAGAGGAGAGUGGAACUCCAUGUGUAGCGGUGGAAUGCGUAGAUAUAUGGAAGAACACCAGUGGCGAAGGCGGCUCUCUGGUCUGCAACUGACGCUGAGGCUCGAAAGCAUGGGUAGCGAACAGGAUUAGAUACCCUGGUAGUCCAUGCCGUAAACGAUGAGUGCUAAGUGU